CCGCACUUCCUCCACGCCCUCGGUGGUAGUGAGCCCAAAACACUAAACCUUAGAAAUUCGAAGCUGGAGCCGGAACUGGAGCCGCUAGGAUACGCCUUCCCGAAGCCUCCUGCGUUACCCCUAUAUGGAGUCACUUUUGUCCACCCCACGAUCUGGCAGCUCCCCUGGGGUCCCCCGCUACCGAGGCGCGCCCCGCUCCCCCCGGUACUAGCGAAACACAGAGCGGGCCGCGAGUCCGCGUGUCUCCCCGGGCCGCAAGCCCGCCACCCCGCCGGAGGAGGCUGUGGGUUCCUGGGCACCAGAGGUCAAGCGCAGGCGGCGCCUUGUAGCCCGGAGCUGAGCCCGGAGCUCCGGAUCCCCCGGAAGACUCCGGGCAACUCUGGCCCUGGGUCGGUCGCCGAUCGCCCGUCCAGCGGCUGCAGAGGCCCCAUGCGCCCGGCCGAGUCCGGGCCGCGCGGAGCCCCGGAUGCGCCCGCAGCGCGAGUGCGGCCCGGCCCAGUCGCGCGGAUCCCCGGCUCUCCCGACCUGGCUCCUUCUCCUCUCCAGGGGACCGCUGGGUUCCGGGUGCCCCGCCACACCGGGCCCGAAGCAGAGGAGAGUCCCCACUCACGGCUCGGCCACAGGGAUGGGAGUCCCUCCGUAAGGACCCGGCAGGCGGACACCGCACAGUCUUCCAGUUGCCAGCCAGUCAUGUGAAGAGGAUCUGAAGGCAGAGGAAAGACAGCAGGGGCAAAGGCAAGUCUAGACUUGGCAAACUGCAGGAACAGAAGCAAUCUUUGUGGUUGGAACAUAGCAGAAAGGAAAGAGAAGUAUCUUAUUUUGUUUUUACUAAAAGAUUGGUAAAAACAACCUUUAUGUUUUGGUUUUUAUUCUGUUUUAACAGUAAAGUGAAGGUCCUUGGGUUACCUUAAUUUUGUUGCAAGUUUCAAAAUUUUCAGAAUACAUAAUAUCAAUACCAACUUUGAUGACCUCUGUCUCCACUACCACUGGGAGCAGAGUACAAUGAAAUGGUUUUGUACUUUUAGUGUCCAAUAAGCAUUCUCUCAUCUAAAUGGACAGUGCCGUUGCUGAUUAACUUAUUUAUUCUUCUCAAACUAUAGUCUUAAUUCCAUUCUACUUUUGUACCUAUUUAUGCGCUCUUUUAUUCAACAUGUAUUGAAUGAUUAUUAUGUAUCAGGCAUAACAAGGUUCUAGAAACAAAGAACAAAUAGACAUGGGACUAAACACCUGCCGGAGAUUUAAAGGGAUGAAAAGGGAUGCUAAAAUGAACGAGAAAUACAAAAAUAUAUAUAUAUAUGUAUUCUUUUGGUGUUCUUCUACUUCACUUGUUAUUCCUUCAUAUAUCCUUUGGUUUUUGGUCCUCCUAUUCCCAGUUCUUACACUGGAGUGCCCCAGGGUUUAGAUCUUGACUUUCCUUUUUUCUAUCUUCAUCCAAACAUUUAGCUAUCUCAUCUAGCCUUACAGCUUUGAA
This 1471-nucleotide long non-coding RNA is filed under the name Bos grunniens (domestic yak). RNAcentral's name for it is "lncRNA (ENSBGRG00000013361.1)". Lineage: Eukaryota; Metazoa; Chordata; Mammalia; Artiodactyla; Bovidae. The record is from RNAcentral.